CAGCAUGAGUAGCAAUACUUGAUGGCGACCGGCAAACGGGUGCGGAACACGUACAGAACCUUCCUUCGAGUGGGGAAUAGCCCGAAGAAAUUCGGAUUAAUACCCCAUAGUAUUAUGGAGUGGCAUCACUUUAUAAUUAAAGAUUUAUUGCUUGAAGAUGGCUGUGCGCCUGAUUAGGUAGUUGGCGGGGUAAUGGCCCACCAAGCCUUCGAUCAGUAACUGGUGUGAGAGCACGACCAGUCACACGGGCACUGAGACACGGGCCCGACUCCUACGGGAGGCAGCAGUAAGGAAUAUUGGUCAAUGGACGCAAGUCUGAACCAGCCAUGCCGCGUGGAGGAUGAAGGUCCUCUGGAUUGUAAACUUCUUUUAUUUGGGAAGAAAUGUGAUUAUUCUUUUUCACUUGACGGUACCAGAUGAAUAAGCACCGGCUAACUCCGUGCCAGCAGCCGCGGUAAUACGGAGGGUGCAAGCGUUAUCCGGAUUUACUGGGUUUAAAGGGUGCGCAGGCGGAUAUGUAAGUCAGUGGUGAAAUCUCCGGGCUUAACCCGGAAACUGCCGUUGAUACUAUAUAUCUUGAAUGCUGUGGAGGUAAGCAGAAUAUGUCAUGUAGCGGUGAAAUGCUUAGAGAUGACAUAGAAUACCUAUUGCGAAGGCAGCUUACUACGCAGAUAUUGACGCUCAUGCACGAAAGCGUGGGGAUCAAACAGGAUUAGAUACCCUGGUAGUCCACGCCCUAAACGAUGAUUACUCGACAUACGCGAUAUACAGUGUGUGUCUGAGCGAAAGCAUUAAGUAAUCCACCUGGGAAGUACGAUCGCAAGAUUGAAACUC
RNAcentral lists this ribosomal RNA (834 nucleotides) under uncultured Sphingobacteriia bacterium. Its description in RNAcentral is "bacterial SSU rRNA". It matches the Rfam family "Bacterial small subunit ribosomal RNA", at positions 70 to 902 of the family's 1533-position model. The record is from RNAcentral. Lineage: Bacteria; Pseudomonadati; Bacteroidota; Sphingobacteriia.